Long non-coding RNA from Hemicordylus capensis (graceful crag lizard), 1027 nucleotides. RefSeq lists it as uncharacterized. The record is from RefSeq and is a predicted model, not a curated record. The transcript has 3 exons. Lineage: Eukaryota; Metazoa; Chordata; Lepidosauria; Squamata; Cordylidae.
UGCACACGCCUAGAAACACCUGGAGCGGGGUGGGUGGUGGGUGGAGAGAGGUUGUUUGUACACUUGGUAAACAUAAUGAUAUUGGAUCUAAAAUGUUUCUCAAAGAUAAUGAAUUUCAGCCUCAGAGAAGUUUCACUGUGCUGGAGAGGACAAGGCACUGCUGAGAAACUAUGCACGAACUGGCACUGAUUAUCAUGUGCCUCCCCCAUCACCUUACUCCACUUUAACACCUUAAUCCUGCUGGGAAUUAUGACCCCACAAUUGCCACCAAUUGGACUCCAAGGUACAGCCAGAGUACAGACCUUCCUCAUGCCUUCCAGCCUCUGGGUGGAAAAGCUGCUCUCCUGCCACUCCUGAGAGCAGAUGCAGUUCAGAUCCACACUGGAAAUGUGGGCACAAAUUCAAGUGAGAAUGGAACAUGUUGAAGCCAUGUGGAAAACAUUAGGCAUGCAAAGAAGAGAGCUCAGCCAAACCCACAGCCUCCUCUCCAGCUUGUCAUCUCUUCAAAGAAAAUACUCAAGUUUAGGGGAAGUGUGGAAGCAGUGGAUUGAGGAAUAUUUCAACAAGAUCCCAGUAGCCAUUCACCGAGCCCCCAGUGAAGGAUUUUUAUGAAAUGUGUUGGAUUCAAUAAAACAGAUCCUGCACACGAGAUCGUGGUAGAGCAGAAUGGUAUAGUUAGAAAUAAGAAGAGAUGGCAGAUAGAAACACGGCUUUUGAGGAAGACACAGAGAGUGGUAUUUGAUAAGUGCGUCAUCAUUGAGGAUUUUAAGACUAUACCAUACAGGUAUUAAAAAUGGACGUCCGCUGGCAACACCCCUUCUCUGCCAUCCUUGUGGGGCCUAGCAACUGUGGUAAAACUUUUUUCUAAAAAAAAAAAAAAAUGCUGGACAAUGCACACAGUGUGCUAUCUGUGAUGCCUGAAAAAUCCUGUGGUGUUACUCUUGUUGGCAGCCUUUGUACAAACAAAUGCUCUGUAAAUUCCCCUAUGAUAACAUUUGUAGAAGGUAUGCCUGAGAAAAUUGAUGAU